UGAAUACGAGACGCUACGGCGUCGAAGCAGUCUAUGUCAUACUUCCAAGAAAAGCUCGCAAUGUCAUAAACAAAUAAUGCCUGUACCAUAACCGACACAGGUGGGUAGGUAGAGUAUACUAAGGGGCGCGAGAUAACUCUCUCUAAGGAACUCGGCAAAAUGACUCCGUAACUUCGGGAGAAGGAGUGCCUUAUUUAUAAGGUUGCAAUAACAAGAUCCAAGCAACUGUUUAUCAAAAACACAGGUCUCCGCUAAGUCGUAAGACGAUGUAUGGGGGCUGACGCCUGCCCAGUGCCAGAAGGUUAAAGAAGUUGGUUAGCAUUCGCGAAGCUGAUAACUGAAGCCCUGGUGAACGGCGGCCGUAACAAUAACGGUCCUAAGGUAGCGAAAUUCCUUGUCGGGUAAGUUCCGACCCGCACGAAAGGCGUAAUGAUUUGGAUACUGUCUCGGAGAGGGGCUCGGUGAAAUAGACUUGUCUGUGAAGAUGCGGACUACCUGCACCUGGACAGAAAGACCCUAUGAAGCUUUACUGUAACUUGAAAUUGAAAUUGGACUUUAUUUGCGCAGCAUAGGUGGGAGGCGUUGAGAGUAUUCUUGCGGGAAUAUUGGAGCCAUCAGUGAGAUACCACUCUUGUAAUGUUAGAUUUCUAACUUUGGAUCAUUAUCUGGUCAAAGAACAGUUUCAGGCGGGCAGUUUGACUGGGGCGGUCGCCUCCCAAAUGGUAACGGAGGCGUACAAAGGUUUCCUCUGAACGGGUAGAAAUCGUAUCUAGAGUGUAAAGGCAUAAGGAAGCUUGACUGUGAGACCUACAAGUCGAGCAGGGACGAAAGUCGGUCUUAGUGAUCUGACGGUGCUGAGUGGAAAGGCCGUCACUCAACGGAUAAAAGUUACUCUAGGAUAACAGGCUGAUCUCCCCCAAGAGUUCACAUCGACGGGGAGGUUUGGCACCUCGAUGUCGGCUCAUCGCAUCCUGGGGCGGUAGUACGUCCCAAGGGUUGGGCUGUUCGCCCAUGAAAGCGGUACGCGAGCUGGGUUCAGAACGUCGUGAGACAGUUCGGUCCAUAUCCGGUGUAGGCGUUAGAAUAUUGAGAGGAGCCUUCUUUAGUACGAGAGGACCGAGAAGGACAUACCUCUGGUGUACCAGUUAUCGUGCCAACGGUAAACGCUGGGUAGCUAUGUAUGGAGAGGAUAACCGCUGAAAGCAUCUAAGUGGGAAGCCCACCUCAAGAUAAGUAUUCUCAUC
RNAcentral lists this ribosomal RNA (1244 nucleotides) under metagenome. RNAcentral describes it as "bacterial LSU rRNA". It matches the Rfam family "Bacterial large subunit ribosomal RNA", at positions 1564 to 2818 of the family's 2925-position model. The record is from RNAcentral.